UCGAUUCUUGGCUCAGAUUGAACGCUGGCGGGAUGCUUUACACAUGCAAGUCGAACGGCAGCACGGACUUCGGUCUGGUGGCGAGUGGCGAACGGGUGAGUAAUGUAUCGGAACGUGCCUAGUAGCGGGGAUAACUACGCGAAAGCGUAGCCACACCGCAUACGCCCUUCGGGGGAAAGCGGGGGACCUUUCGGGCCUCGCACUAUUAGAGCGGCCGAUAUCGGAUUAGCUAGUUGGUGGGGUAACGGCUCACUAAGGCGACGAUCCGUAGCUGGUUUGAGAGGACGACCAGCCACACUGGGACUGAGACACGGCCCAGACUCCUACGGGAGGCAGCAGUGGGGAAUUUUGGACAAUGGGGAAACCCUGAUCCAGCCAUCCCGCGUGUGCGAUGAAGGCCUUCGGGUUGUAAAGAAUUUUUGGCAGGAAAGAAACGGCACGGGAUAAUACCCCGUGCAACUGACGGUACCUGCAGAAUAAGCACUACACCAUGCCAGCAGCCGCGGUAAUACGUAGGGUGCAAGUUAAUCGGAAUUACUGGGCGUGAAGCGCAGGCGGUUCGGAAAGAAAGAUGUGAAAUCCUGUGAGCUUAACUUUGGAACUGCAUUUUUAACUACUGAGCUAGAGCGUGUCAGAGGGUGUGAAUUCCGCGUGUAGCAGUGAAAUGCGCAGAUAUGCGGAGGAACACCGGAUGGCGAAGGCAGCCUCCUGGGAUAACACUGACGCUCAUGCACGAAAGCGUGGGGAGCAAACAGGAUUAGAUACUCCUGGUAGUCCACGCCCUAAACGAUGUCAACUAGCCAGCCUUCGGGCCUUGGUAGCGCAGCUAACGCGUGAAGUUGACCGGCUCGGGGAGUACGGUCGCAAGAUUAAAACUCAAAGGAAUUGACGGGGACCCGCACAAGCGGUGGAUGAUGUGGAUUAAUUCGAUGCAACGCGAAAACCUUACCUACCCUUGACAUGUCUGGAAUCCCGAAGAGAUUUGGGAGUGCUCGCAAGAGAACCGGAACACAGGUGCUGCAUGGCUGUCGUCAGCGCUCGUGUCGUGAGAUGUUGGGUUAAGUCCCGAAAAACGAGCGCAACCCUUGUCAUUAGUUGCUACGAAAGGGCACUCUAACGAGACUGCCGGUGACAAACCGGAGGAAGGUGGGGACGACGUCAAGCCUCAUGGCCCUUAUGGGUAGGGGCUUCACACGUCAUACAAUGGUCGGGACAGAGGGUCGCCAACCCGCGAGGGGGAGCUAAUCCCAGAAACCCGAUCGUAGUCCGGAUCGCAGUCUGCAACUCGACUGCGUGAAGUCGGAAUCGCUAGUAAUCGCGGAUCAGCAUGUCGCGGUGAAUACGUUCCCGGUCUUGUACACACCGCCCGUCACACCAUGGGAGUGGGUUUUACCAGAAGUAGUUAGCCUAACCGUAAGGAGUGGGCGAUUACCACGGUAGGAUUCAUGACUGGGGUGAAGUCGUAACAAGGCAG
RNAcentral lists this ribosomal RNA (1474 nucleotides) under uncultured Bordetella sp. RNAcentral's name for it is "partial 16S-23S ribosomal RNA intergenic spacer". It matches the Rfam family "Bacterial small subunit ribosomal RNA". Lineage: Bacteria; Pseudomonadati; Pseudomonadota; Betaproteobacteria; Burkholderiales; Alcaligenaceae. The record is from RNAcentral.